Oryza glumipatula is the source of this 194-nucleotide non-coding RNA. Lineage: Eukaryota; Viridiplantae; Streptophyta; Magnoliopsida; Poales; Poaceae. The record is from Rfam.
CAUGGUUUCCAUGUCUAACGUUUCACCUUCCGUCUUAUUUAAAAAAAUUAUAAAUAAAAUAAAAAGACAAGUCACACAUAAAAUAUUACUAAUCAUAUUUUAUCAUCUAACAAUAAUGAAAAUACGAAUUAUAAAAAAUUUUCAUAUAAGAUGGACAGUCAAAGUUGGACACGGAAACUCAGGUUUUGCUUUUU